AGGCUUAGCACAUGCAAGUCGAGGGGUAACAGUGUCACUUCGGUGAUGCUGACGACCGGCGCACGGGUGAGUAACGCGUAUGGAACCUACCUGAGACAGGGAGAUAGCUUCGCGGAAACGGGGAUUAAUACCCCAUACGAUUCAUUUGUGGCCUCACAAAUGGAUAAAAGCUACGGCGGUUUCAGAUGGUCAUGCGUACCAUUAGUUAGUUGGUGAGGUAAAGGCUCACCAAGGCGAUGAUGGUUAGGGGUCCUGAGAGGGUAGUCCCCCACACUGGUACUGAGACACGGACCAGACUCCUACGGGAGGCAGCAGUGAGGAAUAUUGGUCAAUGGGCGCUAGCCUGAACCAGCCAUGCCGCGUGCAGGAAGACGGCCCUACGGGUUGUAAACUGCUUUUCUGCAGGAAGAAUAUAUAGUCUUAGGGCUAUAUUGACGGUACUGCAGGAAUAAGCAUCGGCUAACUCCGUGCCAGCAGCCGCGGUAAUACGGAGGAUGCAAGCGUUAUCCGGAUUCAUUGGGUUUAAAGGGUGCGCAGGCUGUAAAGCAAGUCAGUGGUGAAAGCCCUGGGCUUAACUCAGGGAUUGCCAUUGAAACUGUUUUACUAGAGUGUAGUAGAGGACGGCGGAAUGAGUUGUGUAGCGGUGAAAUGCAUAGAUAUAACUCAGAACACCUAUUGCGUAGGCAGCUGUCUAUACUACAACUGACGCUGAGGCACGAAAGCGUGGGGAGCGAACAGGAUUAGAUACCCUGGUAGUCCACGCUGUAAACGAUGAUCACUCGGUGGUUGGCUACUUAGUAGUCAGUGACCAAGGGAAACCGAUAAGUGAUCCACCUGGGGAGUACGUCGGCAACGAUG
Molecule: ribosomal RNA, 858 nt
Filed under: uncultured organism
Description: bacterial SSU rRNA
Rfam family: Bacterial small subunit ribosomal RNA
Source: RNAcentral